This 569-nucleotide ribosomal RNA is filed under the name Vibrio sp. AF4-08. RNAcentral describes it as "bacterial SSU rRNA". It matches the Rfam family "Bacterial small subunit ribosomal RNA", at positions 47 to 604 of the family's 1533-position model. Lineage: Bacteria; Pseudomonadati; Pseudomonadota; Gammaproteobacteria; Vibrionales; Vibrionaceae. The record is from RNAcentral.
CCUAAACACAGCAAGUCGAGCGGUAACAGGAAUUAGCUUGCUAAUUCGCUGACGAGCGGCGGACGGGUGAGKUAAUGCCUGGGAAUAUGCCUUAAUGUGGGGGAUAACUAUUGGAAACGAUAGCUAAUACCGCAUAAUGUCUUCGGACCAAAGAGGGGGAUCUUCGGACCUCUCGCGCUAAGAUUAGCCCAGGUGAGAUUAGCUAGUUGGUGAGGUAAGAGCUCACCAAGGCGACGAUCUCUAGCUGGUCUGAGAGGAUGAUCAGCCACACUGGAACUGAGACACGGUCCAGACUCCUACGGGAGGCAGCAGUGGGGAAUAUUGCACAAUGGGCGAAAGCCUGAUGCAGCCAUGCCGCGUGUAUGAAGAAGGCCUUCGGGUUGUAAAGUACUUUCAGUCGUGAGGAAGGGUGUGUAGUUAAUAGCUGCAUAUCUUGACGUUAGCGACAGAAGAAGCACCGGCUAACUYCGUGCCAGCAGCCGCGGUAAUACGGAGGGUGCGAGCGUUAAUCGGAAUUACUGGGCGUAAAGCGCAUGCAGGUGGUUCAUUAAAUCAAAUGUGAAAGCCCG